RNAcentral lists this ribosomal RNA (856 nucleotides) under uncultured bacterium. RNAcentral's name for it is "bacterial SSU rRNA". It matches the Rfam family "Bacterial small subunit ribosomal RNA", at positions 8 to 865 of the family's 1533-position model. The record is from RNAcentral.
AGAGUUUGAUCCUGGCUCAGAUUGAACGCUGGCGGAAUGCUUUACACAUGCAAGUCGAACGGUAGAGGGGGCAACCCCUUGAGAGUGGCGAACGGGUGAGUAAUGUAUCGGAACGUGCCCAGUCGUGGGGGAUAACGUAGUGAAAAUUACGCUAAUACCGCAUACAAUCUAUGGAUGAAAGCGGGGGAUCGCAAGACCUCGCGCGAUUGGAGCGGCCGAUAUCAGAUUAGGUAGUUGGUGGGGUAAAGGCUCACCAAGCCAACGAUCUGUAGCUGGUCUGAGAGGACGACCAGCCACACUGGAACUGAGACACGGUCCAGACUCCUACGGGAGGCAGCAGUGGGGAAUUUUGGACAAUGGACGCAAGUCUGAUCCAGCCAUUCCGCGUGCAGGACGAAGGCCUUCGGGUUGUAAACUGCUUUUGUACGGAACGAAAAAGCUCUUAUUAAUACUAGGAGUCCAUGACGGUACCGUAAGAAUAAGCACCGGCUAACUACGUGCCAGCAGCCGCGGUAAUACGUAGGGUGCAAGCGUUAAUCGGAAUUACUGGGCGUAAAGCGUGCGCAGGCGGUUAUAUAAGACAGAUGUGAAAUCCCCGAGCUUAACUUGGGAACUGCAUUUGUGACUGUAUAGCUAGAGUACGGCAGAGGGGGAUGGAAUUCCGCGUGUAGCAGUGAAAUGCGUAGAUAUGCGGAGGAACACCGAUGGCGAAGGCAAUCCCCUGGGCCUGUACUGACGCUCAUGCACGAAAGCGUGGGGAGCAAACAGGAUUAGAUACCCUGGUAGUCCACGCCCUAAACGAUGUCAACUGGUUGUUGGGUCUUCACUGACUCAGUAACGAAGCUACGCGUGAAGU